This 1260-nucleotide ribosomal RNA is filed under the name Bacillus sp. 9cp. RNAcentral's name for it is "bacterial SSU rRNA". It matches the Rfam family "Bacterial small subunit ribosomal RNA", at positions 51 to 1295 of the family's 1533-position model. Lineage: Bacteria; Bacillati; Bacillota; Bacilli; Caryophanales; Bacillaceae. The record is from RNAcentral.
AUACAUGCAAGUCGAGCGGACAGAAGGGAGCUUGCUCCCGGAUGUUAGCGGCGGACGGGUGAGUAACACGUGGGUAACCUGCCUGUAAGACUGGGAUAACUCCGGGAAACCGGAGCUAAUACCGGAUAGUUCCUUGAACCGCAUGGUUCAAGGAUGAAAGACGGUUUCGGCUGUCACUUACAGAUGGACCCGCGGCGCAUUAGCUAGUUGGUGAGGUAACGGCUCACCAAGGCGACGAUGCGUAGCCGACCUGAGAGGGUGAUCGGCCACACUGGGACUGAGACACGGCCCAGACUCCUACGGGAGGCAGCAGUAGGGAAUCUUCCGCAAUGGACGAAAGUCUGACGGAGCAACGCCGCGUGAGUGAUGAAGGUUUUCGGAUCGUAAAGCUCUGUUGUUAGGGAAGAACAAGUGCAAGAGUAACUGCUUGCACCUUGACGGUACCUAACCAGAAAGCCACGGCUAACUACGUGCCAGCAGCCGCGGUAAUACGUAGGUGGCAAGCGUUGUCCGGAAUUAUUGGGCGUAAAGGGCUCGCAGGCGGUUUCUUAAGUCUGAUGUGAAAGCCCCCGGCUCAACCGGGGAGGGUCAUUGGAAACUGGGAAACUUGAGUGCAGAAGAGGAGAGUGGAAUUCCACGUGUAGCGGUGAAAUGCGUAGAGAUGUGGAGGAACACCAGUGGCGAAGGCGACUCUCUGGUCUGUAACUGACGCUGAGGAGCGAAAGCGUGGGGAGCGAACAGGAUUAGAUACCCUGGUAGUCCACGCCGUAAACGAUGAGUGCUAAGUGUUAGGGGGUUUCCGCCCCUUAGUGCUGCAGCUAACGCAUUAAGCACUCCGCCUGGGGAGUACGGUCGCAAGACUGAAACUCAAAGGAAUUGACGGGGGCCCGCACAAGCGGUGGAGCAUGUGGUUUAAUUCGAAGCAACGCGAAGAACCUUACCAGGUCUUGACAUCCUCUGACAACCCUAGAGAUAGGGCUUUCCCUUCGGGGACAGAGUGACAGGUGGUGCAUGGUUGUCGUCAGCUCGUGUCGUGAGAUGUUGGGUUAAGUCCCGCAACGAGCGCAACCCUUGAUCUUAGUUGCCAGCAUUCAGUUGGGCACUCUAAGGUGACUGCCGGUGACAAACCGGAGGAAGGUGGGGAUGACGUCAAAUCAUCAUGCCCCUUAUGACCUGGGCUACACACGUGCUACAAUGGACAGAACAAAGGGCUGCGAGACCGCAAGGUUUAGCCAAUCCCACAAAUCUGUUCUCAGUUCG